CACGUAGGGCGCAAGCGUUGUCCGGAAUUAUUGGGCGUAAAGAGCUCGUAGGCGGCUUGUCGCGUCGAAUGUGAAAUCUCAGGGCUCAACUCUGACAUUGCAUUCGAUACGGGCAGGCUAGAGUUCGGUAGGGGAGACUGGAAUUCCUGGUGUAGCGGUGAAAUGCGCAGAUAUCAGGAAGAACACCCGUGGCUAAGGCGGCUCUCUAGUACGGUACUGACGCUGAGACGCGAAAGCGUGGGGAGCGAACAGG
Molecule: ribosomal RNA, 253 nt
Filed under: uncultured bacterium
Lineage: Bacteria
Description: partial 16S ribosomal RNA
Rfam family: Bacterial small subunit ribosomal RNA
Source: RNAcentral